Crotalus tigris (Tiger rattlesnake) is the source of this 492-nucleotide long non-coding RNA. RefSeq lists it as uncharacterized. Lineage: Eukaryota; Metazoa; Chordata; Lepidosauria; Squamata; Viperidae. The record is from RefSeq and is a predicted model, not a curated record. The transcript is spliced from 2 exons.
AAAAGAGCUACGGCGAUGACAGCGGCGGCGGCAGCAGCAGCAGCAGCAACGUAAAAAUCUUUCUUACCUCAAAGCAUGGGCGUUUGUGAUAGAAUUAUAAUAUCUGGGCUGUUAAAAAAUAAAAUAAAAUCCGGCCAUUAGAUGUUAAGCAGUAGUAUUAUUUGCUGGGCUUUAACUGUCGUCCGGAUAAGGCAACCCAAGUAGGGUGAUCCGAAUUACGGAAGGCGUCCCGUCGUCUCCCCUUCUUGCUCUGGAGCUGAAUCAUGCAUGAAAGGAUUGCAUCUCCUUUUGGAAAGCGCAGCAGGAUCCAGUUUUCCAGGUUGGGAUUCUGGUGAUGAACAGUUGCAGCCCAAACUCUACCACAUCUCGUAUCUGGAAAUGUAAGGAACUGACCCUUAGGAUCUUCAUGCAGAACAUCUGAUCUUCUCAGUAUGAGCAGCUGUUAGAAAAACAAACACCAGGAUAAAAAUAAACAAGACCGUUUAAUAUAAA